RNAcentral lists this ribosomal RNA (457 nucleotides) under uncultured bacterium. RNAcentral describes it as "bacterial SSU rRNA". It matches the Rfam family "Bacterial small subunit ribosomal RNA", at positions 43 to 524 of the family's 1533-position model. The record is from RNAcentral.
CAGGCUUAACACAUGCAAGUCGAACGCCCCGCAAGGGGAGUGGCAGACGGGUGAGUAACACGUGGGAACGUACCCUUUGGUUCGGAACAACCCUGGGAAACUAGGGCUAAUACCGGAUACGCGCGAGAGCGGAAAGGUUUACCGCCGAAGGAUCGGCCCGCGUCUGAUUAGCUAGUUGGUGAGGUAACGGCUCACCAAGGCGACGAUCAGUAGCUGGUCUGAGAGGAUGAUCAGCCACAUUGGGACUGAGACACGGUCCAGACUCCUACGGGAGGCAGCAGUGGGGAAUCUUGCGCAAUGGGCGAAAGCCUGACGCAGCGACGCCGCGUGAGUGAUGAAGGCCCUCGGGUUGUAAAGCUCUGUGGGGAGAGACGAAUAAGUCUUGGCUAAUAUCCAAGGUGAUGACGGUAUCUCCUUAGCAAGCACCGGCUAACUCUGUGCCAGCAGCCGCGGUAAU